Afipia sp. 64-13 is the source of this 159-nucleotide non-coding RNA. Lineage: Bacteria; Pseudomonadati; Pseudomonadota; Alphaproteobacteria; Hyphomicrobiales; Nitrobacteraceae. The record is from Rfam.
UGCCGGCUUUCCACCAGCCGGCGCGAAUACCGAAGAGGCUUGUCCUUCAUUGCCAGGUGUGCGGGCGGGAGCUUUCCCAACCAAUCCACGGCAGCACAGUCUGGUUUGAGUCCAGGUUAUGACCGCGUCUCCAUCGUGCGGCAUGACCGAAGCGCUCAC